AUAUUCUGUGAGCAGGAAAGAGGGGGAUCGCAAGACCUCUUGCUUUAGGAGCGGCCGAUGUCGGAUUAGCUAGUUGGUGAGGUAAAGGCUCACCAAGGCGACGAUCCGUAGCGGGUCUGAGAGGAUGAUCCGCCACACUGGGACUGAGACACGGCCCAGACUCCUACGGGAGGCAGCAGUGGGGAAUUUUGGACAAUGGGCGCAAGCCUGAUCCAGCCAUGCCGCGUGAGUGAAGAAGGCCUUCGGGUUGUAAAGCUCUUUCGGUGGGGAAGAAAUGGCACGGGUUAAUACCCUGUGUUGAUGACGGUACCCGCAUAAGAAGCACCGGCUAACUACGUG
Molecule: ribosomal RNA, 339 nt
Filed under: uncultured bacterium
Lineage: Bacteria
Description: bacterial SSU rRNA
Rfam family: Bacterial small subunit ribosomal RNA
Source: RNAcentral